RNAcentral lists this ribosomal RNA (998 nucleotides) under uncultured Arcobacter sp. Its description in RNAcentral is "bacterial SSU rRNA". It matches the Rfam family "Bacterial small subunit ribosomal RNA", at positions 56 to 1061 of the family's 1533-position model. The record is from RNAcentral. Lineage: Bacteria; Pseudomonadati; Campylobacterota; Epsilonproteobacteria; Campylobacterales; Arcobacteraceae.
UGCACGUCGAACGAGAACGGGUAUUAGUUUACUAAUACUGUCAGCUAAGUGGCGCACGGGUGAGUAAUAUAUAGUUAACCUGCCCCAAAGAAGAGAAUAAUUGUUGGAAACGACUCGUAAUGCUCUAUAUGCCUUUAUGACAUAAGUCAGCAAGGGAAAUAUUUAUAGCUUUGGGAUGGGACUGUACGGUAUCAGCUUGUUGGUGAGGUAAUGGCUCACCAAGGCAAUGACGCCUAACUGGUUUGAGAGGAUGAUCAGUCACACUGGAACUGAGACACGGUCCAGACUCCUACGGGAGGCAGCAGUGGGGAAUAUUGCACAAUGGAGGAAACUCUGAUGCAGCAACGCCGCGUGGAGGAUGACACAUUUCGGUGCGUAAACUCCUUUUAUAUGAGAAGAUAAUGACGGUAUCAUAUGAAUAAGCACCGGCUAACUCCGUGCCAGCAGCCGCGGUAAUACAGGGGGUGCAAGCGUUACUCGGAAUCACUGGGCGUAAAGAGCAUGUAGGCUGGUUUGUAAGUUGGAAGUGAAAUCCUAUGGCUUAACCAUAGAACUGCUUCCAAAACUGCAGACCUAGAAUAUAGGAGAGGUAGAUGGAAUUUCUGGUGUAGGGGUAAAAUCCGUAGAGAUCAGAAGGAAUACCGAUUGCGAAGGCGGUCUACUGGAACAUUAUUGACGCUGAGAUGCGAAAGCGUGGGGAGCAAACAGGAUUAGAUACCCUGGUAGUCCACGCCCUAAACGAUGCACACUAGUUGUUGCUAUGCUAGACAUAGCAGUAAUGCAGUUAACACAGUAAGUGUGCCGCCUGGGGAGUACGGUCGCAAGAUUAAAACUCAAAGGAAUAGACGGGGACCCGCACAAGCGGUGGAGCAUGUGGUUUAAUUCGACGAUACGCGAAGAACCUUACCUGGCCUUGACAUAGAGAGAACUUACUAGAGAUAGUUUGGUGCUAGUUUACUAGAGCUCUUAUACAGGUGCUGCACGGCUGUCGUCAGCUC